Molecule: long non-coding RNA, 669 nt
Filed under: Anser brachyrhynchus (Pink-footed goose)
Lineage: Eukaryota; Metazoa; Chordata; Aves; Anseriformes; Anatidae
Description: lncRNA (ENSABRG00000018034.1)
Source: RNAcentral
UUAUUUUUUAAUGUUUCUGAAUGAGAAAAAUGUGAACAUAAACUACUGUCUCUCACACCACUGUCCUGGUACAUUGUGGUUGUGGUAUUAGGGCUCUUUUCUUUUUUUUUCUGAAAAUAAUAUAAAAUACGUUGUGUUCCUCUAUAUUUUAUUAUGAACAAUCUUUUCUGAAUGGAACUUUGUCCUAAUUCAAGUGCCACUAAAAUAAAGGUUAGCUUCUCCGACUGUAUUCUUCAGUGGAAAAGCUUUUAUAAAUUACCUUAUUGUUUCACAGGCCUUGGAGAGUGUUGUUGUGGAUGGCAAUGAGUGUGACUCAUCUGGCUGUAGAGCUGGAAAUGUAAUAUUAAAGAAAAUAAAUAACAAAACUGAAAAGAGCAUUAAAUGAGGAAAUGAGGCACGAAUGCGUGAAACAGAGGUUAGUCUACUGCAUGAUGAGCUGUUUGGCACUUUCAACGCACCUUCCAAAGCCUCUUCAUACCAGCUACUGGAAUAUUACUAAAUUUGGGAUCUUGACAGAUAGAAAGACUAAGAUCUGACAAUGUUUGUUAUUCGUCUUAUACAAACCAGUUUAUUUCCUGUACAUGAAAAAUAACAGAAUGAACAUGAAGACCUUCUGACCAACCUAGAUUUGAUAUCUCUUCUUGGAAAAUAAACUGUGAUUCAGCAGCA